AUGUGUCCCCGCACACUGGUCCAGGAACAGUUCACUUAUCAGGGGAGAAUACUUCCUGUCCCCGAUGCGGCCCGGCUCCCGAGGAUUCCUGGCGCUUGGUGUUUUCCACGCGCACACUCGCGUCCACGGGCCUCAGCCCGACGCUGCCUGUCACGUGGCGGUCGUUGCGUAAUUGGGCAGGAAGCGGCCGCGGAGCCCCGGCGCACGGAGGCGCUGGCCUGGCGGUGGCACCAGAAACGCAGCAGCGGAAACGCAACGUUAUUCGAGAGGACACCUCAUCCGCGAAAUAUUCGGAGCCUGUGAUGUGGCUGUAAGUUGGCCGGAGUCCAGGAUGUUGAGCUGACAACAUAGAAUCACACCUGUGUAUUUUAAAAACCCACAAUUUACACCACAGGGCAGAGCCAAACUCCCUGUGGAGCUCAGAUUCAAUGUCUGACUAUGUGUUUCUGGUAACUGCUUGUCAUUUAGAGGUAUCCUGUUUAUUUAGUAUUUUAACAGCUGUGUGGUGAACGUGAUGAGACUGUCUGUCAUCUGAACUCAGAUAUGUGGGCAGACAUUAAACCUCAACACUUUUAUGUCACAAUUAAAGCUCAAAAACUGUUGAGUACUAAUUUGUCUAUCCAGCAAGUCAUUGUAGCGACAGCUGUCGGGGUGGAUCCUGAACCGGUCACAGUCCAUCACAGGAUCAACAAUUCACACCUACGACCAAUUUAGAGUCUCCUAUUAAGCAAUCUAUUUAGUUAUCUAUCUAUCUAUCUAUCUAUCUAUCUAUCUAUCUAUCUAUCUAUCUAUCUAUCUAUCUAUCUAUCUAUCUAUCUAUCUAUCUAUCUAUCUAUCUAUCUAUCUAUCUAUCUAUCUAUCUAUAUAUAUAUAUAUAUAUAUAUAUGUAAUUUUUUCUACUUCCUUUCUAAAAGUGUGAACAUAAUGCUGCACACAUUAAAUCACAAGACUAAUGAAUAAUUAUUAACCAUCAAGCCCAAACUUUAAUAAAUUACUGGAUUUCAAAACA
This 1009-nucleotide long non-coding RNA is filed under the name Betta splendens (Siamese fighting fish). RNAcentral's name for it is "lncRNA (ENSBSLG00000023824.1)". The record is from RNAcentral. Lineage: Eukaryota; Metazoa; Chordata; Actinopteri; Anabantiformes; Osphronemidae.